This 357-nucleotide long non-coding RNA is filed under the name Brassica napus (rape). Its description in RNAcentral is "long non-coding RNA (BNAP_LNC001302)". The record is from RNAcentral. Lineage: Eukaryota; Viridiplantae; Streptophyta; Magnoliopsida; Brassicales; Brassicaceae.
AAAACUAUUAACGUUCUUGGUUGUUUUCCUUAGUUUUUUUUUUAGGUUUAGAGUUUGUUAUGGCUGAUUACAAAUUACUUUGCAAGCUCACUUCCUAUUUUCAUUCUUUUUAUUAGUCUGGUUUGCAGUAGAUUUUUCCGUUUGAUUUAUCUUCAAAAUCUUCUUUUUAUACACUGCAAAUCUUACAUAUGCAUCGUUCUCUUCAUCUCUUCUCCUAAAAUUUUCUCCAGCUAGAAUGAUAAUACCAAGAUCUUUUUUUCAAAUCAUAUAUAAUCUGAUAUUCGUUCCACUAUAACAUGAAGGAUAUUAAUGACGUAUGCAACCUCUCUUGCACCAAUAUCAGCUUCACAUGUCAUA